Molecule: ribosomal RNA, 325 nt
Filed under: uncultured eukaryote
Lineage: Eukaryota
Description: partial 18S ribosomal RNA
Rfam family: Eukaryotic small subunit ribosomal RNA
Source: RNAcentral
CCCUUAGAUGUUCUGGGCCGCACGCGCGCUACACUGAUGCAUUCAACGAGUUUUACCUUGGCCGAGAGGCCUGGGCAAUCUUUUAAACCUGCAUCGUGAUAGGGAUAGAUUAUUGCAAUUAUUAAUCUUGAACGAGGAAUUCCUAGUAAACGCAAAUCAUCAAUUUGCAUUGAUUACGUCCCUGCCCUUUGUACACACCGCCCGUCGCACCUACCGAUUGAAUGGUCCGGUGAAAUCUCGGGAUUGUGGCCAGUUCACUUUAUUGGGAGUUGGCUGCGAGAACUUGCUUAAACCUUAUCAUUUAGAGGAAGGUGAAGUCGUAACA